UUGCCAUUUUUUGCUAUAAAUAGAGAAUCCAAAGCUUCUUCAUUUUCAUCCAAAACAAUUUCAUACCAUCAAAUAAUAAUUCAUACAAAAAUAUUUACAGGUGUAAUGGCUUCCAAAGUAUCGAUGUUUCUUGUCCUUUGCUUGGCUAUAGCCAUCCUCAUUUCCUCCGAUGUUUUGGCUAGGGAUUUGUCCGAGACCGAGACCUCAGUCGAAGCUACGUCUGAGGGGACUGAGCAAGGCCGUCCCUGCCGCAACCGCUACUGUUGCCGGCGAGGACGCUAUGGCUGCAUUCGCUGGUGCUGCCGCUACACUAAUGGCAACACAGACGGAGAUGUCGAUGCUACUAACCCUUGAACGAAACCCUAAAUUUAAGUGAAGAUGAGAAUGACGCCACUCUUAAGAACAUCAGCCCUAGCUACUUUAAAUUAAAUCCGAUCCAUGUCUACUUAUAACUACGCCUGUUUGCCUAAGGAAUAAUUUGCACGAGAUCGAUCAUCUGUGAUCCUCUCUAUGUAUGCAUCGCCAUAAUAAUAUUAUGUGAGAAAUAUUACUGUCCAUGAA
Molecule: long non-coding RNA, 561 nt
Organism: Andrographis paniculata
Lineage: Eukaryota; Viridiplantae; Streptophyta; Magnoliopsida; Lamiales; Acanthaceae
Exons: 2
Source: RefSeq, a predicted model, not a curated record